This 394-nucleotide RNase P RNA is filed under the name Dehalococcoidia bacterium. RNAcentral describes it as "RNase P RNA component class A". It matches the Rfam family "Bacterial RNase P class A". Rfam says of the family: Ribonuclease P (RNase P) is a ubiquitous endoribonuclease, found in archaea, bacteria and eukarya as well as chloroplasts and mitochondria. Its best characterised activity is the generation of mature 5'-ends of tRNAs by cleaving the 5'-leader elements of precursor-tRNAs. Lineage: Bacteria; Bacillati; Chloroflexota; Dehalococcoidia. The record is from RNAcentral.
CUGGCAGGCCGGGUGGUCGCCGCGCGCCUCGUGCGCGGGGAGGAAAGUCCGGGCUCCACCAGACAGGGUGCCGGGUAACGCCCGGGAGAGGCAACUCUACGGAAAGUGCCACAGAAACAUACCGCCCGCGUUCGCGGGUAAGGGUGAAAUGGCGAGGUAAGAGCUCACCGGCAGGAGGGAGACCUCCUGGAUGGGCAAACCCCACCCGGAGCAAAACCAAAUAGGGGGGCGAGAGCCUGGAGCUGGUGACCCCGUGUCACUGCCUUCAGGAGCACGGUGUCUGGCCGAGGUCCCCGGGUUGGUUGCUUGAUCCCGGCGGCAACGCCGGGGCUAGAUGGAUGGCCACCGCUCUCGCAAGGGAGUACAGAACCCGGCUUACAGGCCUGCCGGCCCC